UAAAGGGCUCGCAGGCGGUUUCUUAAGUCUGAUGUGAAAGCCCCCGGCUCAACCGGGGAGGGUCAUUGGAAACUGGGGAACUUGAGUGCAGAAGAGGAGAGUGGAAUUCCACGUGUAGCGGUGAAAUGCGUAGAGAUGUGGAGGAACACCAGUGGCGAAGGCGACUCUCUGGUCUGUAACUGACGCUGAGGAGCGAAAGCGUCGGGAACUAACAGGAUUAGAUACCCUGGUAGUCCACGCCGUAACCUGCUUUUUUUCUAAGUGUUAGGGGGUUUCCGCCCCUUAGUGCUGCAGCUAAC
Molecule: ribosomal RNA, 299 nt
Filed under: Bacillus amyloliquefaciens
Lineage: Bacteria; Bacillati; Bacillota; Bacilli; Caryophanales; Bacillaceae
Description: partial 16S ribosomal RNA
Rfam family: Bacterial small subunit ribosomal RNA
Source: RNAcentral